GAUUUACUGGGCGUAAAGGGCGCGUAGGCGGCCACCGCAAGUCGAUUGUGAAAUCUCCGGGCUUAACCCGGAAAGGUCAACCGAUACUGCGGGGCUAGAGUGCAGAAGGGGCAACUGGAAUUCUCGGUGUAGCGGUGAAAUGCGUAGAUAUCGAGAGGAACACCUGCGGCGAAGGCGGGUUGCUGGGCUGACACUGACGCUGAGGCGCGAAAGCUAGGGGAGCGAACGGGAUUAGAUACCCCGGUAGUCCUAGCCUUAAACGAUGGAUGCUUGGUGUCUGGGGUUUUAUAGUCCCCGGGUGCCGUCGCUAACGCUUUAAGCAUCCCGCCUGGGGAGUACGGUCGCAAGACUGAAACUCAAAGGAAUUGACGGGGACCCGCACAAGCGGUGGAGCAUGUGGUUUAAUUCGACGCAACGCGAAGAACCUUACCUGGGCUAGAAUGCCCGUGACAGCCCCAGAGAUGGGGUCUCCUGGGUAAAACCAGGCACGGUGCAAGGUGCUGCAUGGCU
Molecule: ribosomal RNA, 510 nt
Filed under: uncultured Acidobacteriota bacterium
Lineage: Bacteria; Pseudomonadati; Acidobacteriota
Description: bacterial SSU rRNA
Rfam family: Bacterial small subunit ribosomal RNA
Source: RNAcentral